Misgurnus anguillicaudatus (oriental weatherfish) is the source of this 2620-nucleotide non-coding RNA. The record is from RefSeq and is a predicted model, not a curated record. NCBI's taxonomy places the organism in Eukaryota, Metazoa, Chordata, Actinopteri, Cypriniformes, Cobitidae.
AAACAGUAAAAGGGUCACUCACUCACUCUUUCGCAAGCUUCUCUGUUUUCAAUAUUGUUGAAAUGGCUGCUGAGCAAGACAGAGGGAGAGCAAAGGAUGUUAUUUUCAUAGCAGACAUGCUUCUUGCUCAAAUCAAGGCAGAGGAACCCAAGGGCAAAGCAACAGCCAUUAAAGGGAGUACAUUUAAUGUCCGAUAGGUGGAGAAAAUGCUGAAGGACGUCCACUACUAAAAAGCAGCAGAAGUGAAGAGAUACAAAGCUUCAGCUACAGUCUGUUUAUUGCCUACAGUGAGACCUCCACAUUUCUGCACUUGUGAUCAUGCAAACAUCCAGUGUAGAGCACUUCACCUGCCCGGCAUGUACACCCAACAAUGCUCGCUCUUUGUGCAGAUGGCAACAGAAAAACCUACAGAUUCCGCCAGUCAAAAAAAAGGAGCUUCAAGCAGCCACAAACGGAGAGUUCUUUUGAACAGAUAUUGCUUGCAAGUAUUGGCCAUACCUUGAGAAGGCGUCAGUCUCCAUGUUGGAACUCAGACCUUUACUGCAGAUGAGACCUUUCCUUUCUGUCAUGCAUGCCAAGGCUCAUUCAACCAAGUGUCAGGUGUCACACAUUUGUUAGAUAAUCUGGCAAAAAUCAGGAAGGUGCUGGUACAACUGCAGUUGAGGAGGUCGAAAUGGUCAACAGCUACCUGUCUCGUUGUGGCCUCACAUCCAAGUAUCUAAUUGAUGCCUAUUUAUAAUAUUUUAGGAAACCUGUCUUUAUUUUUUCACUUUUUUAUUCUUUCUGUCUAGUACUUUGAGAUUGCAUAAGAGUAAGCUGUAACUGUUCAAAGUACAUAAAAAAUUGGCAUGUAGUUCUCUCUUAAAUUUUAAACUCAAUUGUCAGUUUCUGGAUUAAUUGAAAUACGACAAGCAUUAAUGGGACCUUUCUUCCUUCAUCACAUACAUGUCUUGUUAAUAGCCAGGAAUGACAUGCUAACUGUCCAUGCUAUUGGGUGGAACCAACGGAAGCAAGAAGGCCUUCAGCAUUAUCCAGCAGAUACAUCAAGAAAGGCUGAGUCUCAGAGACGGGAAGAUUUGAGCAGUGAACUGGGGUGUCCUGAGAACAUUGUGAAUCAGUGGGUACAAGAUGUCAGACAAAAGGCUACUGAUGGAUUUGGUAGGUACCAGAUGUGAUGACCUACACAACCUUCAGAAAUGAAUUGAACAAAUGUUUCUUAGUCUUCAUCGAAAAGCCAGCCUUUAUAAUCACACUGAAUCCAGCAACACCCUCACCAAGAAGAUUUCAAAAGUGCGCCUUCAAGAAGCAAAGAUCAUUGUGAUGAGGGAGAUGAGACACCACUGCACCGCACCUAUCUCAGAAGCCUGGCUAGGAACAUCAGGAAAAUGAUAUCAGAAAUGUCUUCAGGCAAAAACAGUGGCAGUUUAAGUGAAGAGUGUCAUCGCUGGCUACUGUGUCGUCUUCAGAAAAGGCUUGCAGAUGUAGAGAAGAAGUUCCAAGUUUGCUCAAGUUACAGCCAGGACAGUGUUCUUCACUCCCAACCCUGGAGAGCCGGUGUCCUGCAGACUUUAGCUCCAACCUUAAUCAAACACAUCUGAAAGCUAAUCAAUGUCUUCAUGAUCUCUAGAAAAUCACAGGUACGUGUGUUUGAUUAAGGUUGGAGCUAAGCUCUGCAGGACACCAGCUCUCCAGGAUAGAGAGUGAAGAACACUGCUUUAGGACCAAAUGCUGUUUCUCUGCUGGAGGAUGAGCCCGAGGAGAUACUGGAGGACCACAAAGAGCUGGAUUAUGAGAGUUCAGAUGACAUUUUGGAUUUGGAACUCUGAACUGGUGUAUGCAUUUAGACUGUGUGUCACACUGAACUGCAGGUGUGUUUCAUGGAAAACAAAACUAUUUGGAAAUGUAAUGGAUGUCUGAUACAGUGCUUUUAUUUUAGACAACCGUUUCCUGCAGUCUGUAAGCAACAUUAGCCUCAUAGAUUGAUGGGAAACUACUGUUAAAUAAGUUUUUGUAUGAUAAUCCAUAUCUCCGUUUACAAGCAGCAGGUUAGCUAUUAGGUUUCCCCUCCACCUCCGAUGUUUCACAGACUACUCCUACAGUCAACUGUGUUGCUACAACUUGCAAAUGCCACAAUCCUCUUGCAGUGGUUACUUCACCAAACUGUGCCCAUAUCAUCUUGUCAACAUAAUGACAUUUACUGUAGAAAAAUGUGCAAAUCUAUUUUGCCUGUGUUACAUAUGUUACUAUUAUUGUUAUAUAGUUUUAUACUGUAUAAAGUUUUUUUCACAGUGAUUGUGGAUACGUUUGGAGUGAACUAACUGUAUGUCAUUAGAUGAAAUACUUUACAUAAAUGACUGAUCAAUAGCCUACCCAUAUUUGAUGCAUGAGUUAAUACUGUUGUUACCUUUUCAAUGAAAGGAAAUGUUUUACAAUGCCAUUUUCUUGAGGUAAUUAUUAAACUGUUUCAUAUAUGUACCUGCAAAAUUGUUUGCUAAAGCGUUGUUUACUUUUCCCUGUUUUGAAAAUGAGAUGUAAAACUGCUUUAUUUAUUUAUGCCUUAAAAAUAUAUGAUAGUUUAAUACAGGGUAAAUAUUAAUAAAAACGUGUUAAUUAGUUAGUA